Non-coding RNA from Potamilus streckersoni, 68 nucleotides. The record is from the annotation of a GenBank genome assembly. NCBI's taxonomy places the organism in Eukaryota, Metazoa, Mollusca, Bivalvia, Unionida, Unionidae.
GGUGGCCUAGUGGUUAGAACGUCCGCCUCAGAUGCGGGAGGUCGUGGGUUCGAUCCCUGGCUUAGUCA